CUUUGAUGCCCUCCACGCGGUAGAACUAUCAAUAUUUGCUAAAUGAUUCUCACAAAUCCUUGUCCAUGCAUGCACCGCGGUGCCGAAGCCGCUGGUCUCACAAGCAAGUCUAAGAAAUAAAAGAGGCCUUAAUGAGAUGCCCUGAGCCAUUUCCCUGUACGUGCAACAAGGCCGCAGAUGUAGUGUCUCAAGUCCCGAGGGGUUCCCUCCAUGGAAUUUCAUCAGCAAAGACUCGAGCCAGACCUCCUCCACUGAGGGGUGUGGAGCAAAGUGACGGACGUGGGACUAAGGAUUGGGGAUCUCAUAUUGGAUACUAGAUGGAGAAGAAAGGAUGGUGAUUGGUUCUAAGGUGCCUACCUGCAUGGGGGACCUCCUUUGUGAUGACCCAGGGGGCAUCCACAGCACACCGAGAUGAGACAGCUUGAUGGAUAUUGUGUUUCAGACUGAUACUAAGAUUAUGAAGGUAUACUUGUACACUUUUCUUCUGCACACAUUCUCCCAUCCUGAUGUGUAGGAGAAUGUGCUCAACCACCAAAGAGGCGUAGUUCUUUGAAGGUUUAGGCUAGCUGUCAAUCA
Long non-coding RNA from Syngnathoides biaculeatus (alligator pipefish), 576 nucleotides. RefSeq lists it as uncharacterized. NCBI's taxonomy places the organism in Eukaryota, Metazoa, Chordata, Actinopteri, Syngnathiformes, Syngnathidae. The record is from RefSeq and is a predicted model, not a curated record. The transcript is spliced from 3 exons.